Molecule: long non-coding RNA, 10550 nt
Filed under: Lactuca sativa (garden lettuce)
Lineage: Eukaryota; Viridiplantae; Streptophyta; Magnoliopsida; Asterales; Asteraceae
Description: long non-coding RNA (LSAT_LNC001619)
Source: RNAcentral
UAUUAGACUUAUCCAAGUGGGAGACUGUUGGAUUAGGUGUCUAAGCCUAUAACUAUAAUUGGUAUGUACUUGGUUUGACGGUAGCAUGGUCCUUUUUGGGUUGCCUUCACUCAUGCAACUUGACAGGAUGACAAGUGGAGAGAGAGUAGGAUUUAUUAUUUGAAAUAACAAAUUGGUACACAAAAUGAUUUGAUUAAUAUAUUAUAAUAUUAAUAUAUUAUUUGGAAAUCAUAUUAUUAAUUAGUAAUUAAUUUGAUAUUAAUUUUGGGAUUAAAGGAACUGAUUAAUAAUGGAGGGGUUGUUUUGCAAAUCAUUGAUAGUUGCAAAACUGGGUUGAUGGACUCCUUAAUUAGGAGUGUACGGAAUCAUAUAGGGAGGCCCUAUAGAUUUCGUCCAGGGCCUCAUAAGGAAGAGUCUAUGGGCUGCUUACGCCUUAAGCAGGAAAUUAAGGUUUCCAACUGAAAACCCUAGCAUCCCUCAACUAUAUAAACCCCCAAGACAUGGGAUUUUCAGCCUAUGCAUAAAAUACAUAACCCUAGCCAUUUUCAUUGUCUCUCCAACUCAUCCUAUUGCAUUGGGUGUUUGUGACUCCAUUAGAGGUGCAACACUUGGGGCACUAAGCUUUCAAGAGUCAAGGAUAUCCAAGGUGUUCUUGUUAUUGCUACAUAACAAGUAAGGUAAUUUUCUAACCCUAUUUUGUACAUAAAUUUCGAAUUGUAUGUUUGUUUCUAUGGUUAUUGCUUUUGUAUUCAAUUUACAUAUUCAAUUAGUGGAAAACUUAGAUCCAAAGCAAUUAGGGUUGCAUGAUCACAUAGGAAUGUAGAUAUGCUCAAAACCAUCGGUAUUAUUCAUAAUAUGGCAUAAAUGAUGGAUUCAUUUUCCAAGCAAAUUGAAUAUAAAUUAUUUCAGCUAGUUCAAGCCUAUAAACUAGGCCCUUUUGAGGAUGGCUCAAAACUUAGUGCCCUGUGACAAUACCAAGAUUCCUCCAUAGGAAUUUUGUAUCUUGAUCCCUUUCAAGAUAUUGUCCAUAUAUGCAUAAAGGUUUAACACUUUUAACAAUUAUUUUAUCUAUCUCUAUGGAUUUUACAUUCCAAGAAUGUAUCUUGUCCUUCCCAAGUCUUUCAUUUUAGAAACACAUUUCGAGUCAAGGUGAAAAAUCAUGUCAUGGUCAUAAUUUAAUUUCUUAUGAUUAAGUAUGUCUCAUUCAUACAAGAUUAGAAAUGUCACUAUGCUCCCACUAGAUCUUAGUAAACACAUAUGUUCCAUUCAUAAUGAUAUAAAAGCAUACCUUGUGGUUUUGAUGUUAAAAUGAUGAUUGCAACAUUAAGAUGUUUACUUUAUAUCCAUACUUGGAUCUCAAGAUCUACACAUUUUGUUACGAUAACAUGGAUUAAGAAACCUACAGGCUAAUCUAUAUAGAUAUCUUCUAGUAGAUGUAUAUUAAAAAAACAGUCUUUCUUGAAAUUUAUUUGCUAUGUUUCAUAUUGAGAAUAUGAAUUUAUAGUAAACAAUAUCCUUGUUGAUCUAAUCGUAGCUGAUUGUGAAAAGGUUUGAUGAUAUUCAAUGUCAUGAGUAUGAUAAAGACCAUAGUCAAUGACAUGAGUAUGAGAAAAUCCUUUUAUAACAAGUCUUGCUAUAAAUGUAUAUAAUCAUCCAUAUAAUGUAUUCUUUCUAGAAGAAUUACUUACUCCUUCUAUCCUUUCUAUAGAGAGGAAGUUCAAUCAAGACCAUACUUGAUUAUCAUACAUGGAUUAUGUAACGCCCCAAUUCCGGUAUGUUAUUUAAAUAUUAUUUUUCGAUUUUUCAAGAGGGACUCGACGAGUCAGCAGCCCGAAUCGUCAAGUAGAGACGGGAUUUCGAGCACGUGUAAGUAGGCGACUCGACGAGUCCAUAUCCUGGACUCGGCGAGUCCAUCAGUCUGAAUGAAACUGUAAAUCCCCGGGUUUUGCACCCUAUUUAAACCAUGUUAUGAGCCCCAACCUCGUCUCCUUCACCCUCAGAGCAUCAUCUAGUGUAUCUUUUGAAGUUUGGAGAAAAGAAAGAAGGAAGGACUAAAGGGGAAGGUGAAGAGCAAGGAUCUAGAGUCCAAUUCAGAGUUUAUUGAGGUAUAAUCCGAAUCUCUUCUGUUUCUAUGAUGAUCUUCUAUUAGAAAUCCCGUUUAGGCCAUUUUUAUCCACUUCCUAGCUUGAUUGUAGUGGAGAGAUCAUAUUGAGUUGGAUACCUAGUGGAUAUAGCUAGGUUUGAGCUUCAAAAGCUCAGAUCUACCAUCUUUAUGAGCCUAAUUCGUGUAUAAACCCUAGAUCUACUCUUUUAGUCUCUGCUAAGCCUUUUGAUUCCCUUUUUAUGCAUAUGUGCACAUAAAGUUGGAAACUUUAUGUGAUAAUCAAGCCUUAAGAACCCAGAUGUAUAAGUUGUGUGCAUUGGAUUUGAGCAGAAUCGAUUGUAUGGAAGUUGCAUGCAACCGACUCGGCGAGUUGCGUCGCGAGUCCCCGAUUUUUCCCCUUCAUAAGUUAUGCCGGGUGCAACCAGUGAGUUGUAGGUGGACCCAGUGAGUCGGAGGUCAGACUCAUUCAUGGAAGGACUCGGUGAGUCAAUGCCAUGACUCGGCGAGUCCAAGGCAAUCUUCAUAUCUCAAGAACAGACUCGGCGAGUUGUUCAUACAACUCGGCAAGUCACAGUCAGAGUGUUCAUGUGUUGAAGGAGAACUCGACGAGUUGUUCUUGCAACUUGGCGAGUCGGAUGCAAAUUGACUUGUGAUAGCAUCGAAGAGGAACUCUUUGAGUCUAUGCCAAACUCGACGAGUAGUAGCGAGCAGAAAUGAGAAAUGAGAGUAGGGACUCGACGAGUUGGCGGCCCAACUCGACGAGUCGGGUCAACUGUAGGUUGACUUUGACCAAGAGGUUGACUUUGACCAGGGGUAAAAUAGUCAUUUUACCCUCGGUAUGGUUAUCAGUAUUUGAUUGAGUGUACUUAUGAAAAUUAUAGUCGGGGAGGUACCGGAGUAGGAGCAGACAAUUUCCAGAGCAGUUCUUUCAGCAGCCAGAUUGUGAGGUGAGUCACCUUCCAGUAGGAACGGGUCUACGGCCACAAUGUCGGCCCGUUUAGUUAGCAGUAGUUUCCAGAUUUCGGUCCGAUGCAGUAGUUAGUGUGUUUGAUGUCUUCGUGGCUCAGACAGGAUUAUGUGUUAUAUGUUUAGAGGUAUGGCACGAUAUAGUAUGCAGUAUAUGUGUUUAUGAUAGUUGAUAUGUGUUUAUGCUAUGCUAUGUUCCGUUAGUUUCGGACUUCGGUCCGAUGCAGGGGACAAGGUCCCAGUCAGUUUCGGGCUUCGGUCCGAUGCAGAGGGAAAGGCCCUAGUCAAUUUCCGGACCCCGGUCCGAUGCAGUUUCCAGACUUCGGUCCGAUGUAGUGGGCAAGGCACAGUAUGUGAUUUAUAUGUUAAUGUAUGGUAUGUGGUAGUUUGAGGGAGCUCACCAAGCUUCGUGCUUACACUUUCAGUUUUGGUUUCAGGUACUUCCGCAAGUAAAGGGAAGAGCUCGGGAUGAUGGCAUCGCACACACCACAGCUUCAGUUAUUUUGGCCUGGGAGUUUGUUUUGAUACUUAGUUUUGAAUUGAUACAGUUUAGCACGACAUUUUAUUAUGGCUUGAGAUAUUUGACGUAUGGUUUUUAUGAUGUGACGUUCAGUAUAUGAUUUUCAUUAUUAUUAAAACAAAAAUUGUUGGGUGGUAUUUUGGGAUGUUUUAGAUUACAUCUCAUUUUCAUGACUCUAAGCCAUUAAUCAGAAUUAAGAUCUGACAUAGCAUCUUGGUAUUUGAUGGAUUUGAAAGAAACCGUCAAGAAAAGCUCAUCAAUGAGAGAUUCCACAUUUCUCAAGUCAUAGACGAUUUCUACCACUAAAGCGAACAAUUUGUGUUUGUGAAUAGUUAUUAUUCAUGUUUAACAAUCCCUUGUUAAAACUAGUGCCAACUAUUACUACAUCAGGUAAUAAUUCUUGAGCUGCUUCAAGUUCCAUGUACCUCCCACUUGCUUUGUCAUUAGAAGCUUGAUUUCUGCUAACUCAACUAUCAAAGGAAUAAGAAAAACUUAUUCUUGGUGGGUUUGCUUAUAAUAAUCUAACCUACAUUUAGAGUAUUAUAUGAAAAUAUGUAUUUAGUACAUUUUGGGUUUAAAAGCUUUAGUCCAACAUAUGCUUUAAAUCCAUAAAAGAUUUAAUAAGAUAGGGAUAGAGCCCUUCCAUACAAAAUCUUAUGAAGAAAAUGUUAUAUCUACUAGUUAGUUGGUGUUUGUACUUAAGGUACAAUUGAUAGUGUUCUAGGUGUUAUCCCAAGGAAUUAAAAUGAGGAUAUUUCUACUGAUUAGAAAGUAAAUCAUACUAAGUAAGAUUUCAUUCAUCAUUUAUUAUCAUUAAGGCCUUGGAUAGUUCUUACCAGUUUGUAUUUCAACUUUAUAUUUGGAAACUUAAACAAAAGUAUCACAAUUAUGCUUUACCAUGUAAAAUAUAAUUGAAACUACUAUAGUUAUUAAUGAAGUUAAUUUGGUAUCUUGUUCUAAAUCUUAGACAUUCAUUAGAAAGGAAAUCAUACACCAUAGUGUAUGGUUCCUUAAUAAUUAUUUUCUCUACUACUUAGUGAAAAUAACAUUAUGAAUCUUUUAUGUAUAAAUAAGAUAUACAUAUGUCAAAUAAAGUACAUUAUUUUACUUCAAAGAUCCCUUUCUUGAAGUUAGAAUAUGUGAAAUUCAUUUAUAUAAUAAUGAUAACAAUGCCAAAGAUGAGUUUGAUUUAAAACAAGUUUAAGUCAAAAGUAUUUUGCAUAUAGGACUUGUUAUUUAUAUAACAUUGAUAUUUGUUUUAUAAUUCGAAUCAAUAGAUCUAGUCUCAUAAAAGAAUUUUAAUCAUUUUCGAAUAUGAUGGUGAUUGUUAUGAAAAACGAUUUAAGUAAAUAGCCAAUCAUUCAUAAAUUAAAUUGAGACAUAUAUUUAGGAAAGCUAAAUUAAAACAUACAUUAUUCCGAAAAAACAUUGUUUCAUAAUACAAGUGAAUUAUGUUCCUAGCAUGAUUAAUAAACUAAACUCUGAGAAUGUAGUUCCAACUUGAUUGUGCUUAGCUGGUUACUCUUCAGUAAAUAUUUGUAAGCCAGUUGCAAAUAUUAGAUUAACAUUUAAGUACCAAGUACCUAAGUGUUAUAUGAAAAGUAUGAGUUCUAUCUGUAGAUAAUUGAAGUACUAGUCUCUUCCAGACUUUCUUUCCAGAUAAGAGGAGAAAACUCUCUUCUAGUGUCCAGUUUCUCAACAAAGGAAACAAGAUCCAUCUAUGCGAGCCUUAUUGGAUUUCUUGGUCUUAGAGGUGUUCAGUCCAUAUAACAUGGGCCUCUUAGAUCACACAAGGUGACUCUUUUGGGCCUUGUACUAUUCCUAGUUUGAUGUUAGAAACAUCUUCAACAUCACAGUGAUGUCUUUACUAGGUAUCACAUUCAUGCUUAUUGCUCAAAUCAAAUAGAUUAGGAUAUGGACCUUUAAGUGUAUAUAGUUUCAUAUCUCCCACGAGAUUGUCUGUUAAGAAAUGAACCCACUCAUUAAAGUUGUAUGUAUUGAAUGUUAUUGUUUCAUUAAGUCAUUAAAGAAAAUGACAAUUUCUUGGUAAUGAGAAUGGAUUAUUAACUAAAAAAUUUUAACAAAAUUCAUUUAGUAUUUUCAAUAUUUAAACUCUAUAAUAAUUAAUACCCUUUUAGUUUCUAAAAACAUUAAUUAUCAAAGUCCAGGAUCCAAGUUGCAAAACAAAUAAAUGGUUAGGUAUCCUUUAUCCCAUUCAUUUGAAUUCAACCUGGUUGAUAUCAAUUGUCAAUUAUAUCUCACUAUAUAAUUCCUAAAUUUAUGGGAUCACUAAUAACAAAUUUAAUUAGACAUGUUUGAUAUCAUCUAUGCCUCAAAACUCUCUUGCUUAGGAUUCCGAACAAAUCAUCGAAUUUGAAAAAUUUGUGUAAUCGAACAAUAACUUGGUUAUAGAAAUUGCAAAGACACUCUGACCAUCAAAAGAUAACACUAACGGUUUGGUAUCCUUUAUCCCACUAGUGCAUACAAGAGAUAUGUGAGUGUUCUUCAAAAUGGAUUGCAUAGAUUUAAGGUUUGUAAAAUGGUCUUUUAUAUGUUUUAUAAUUCUAGUUUUAAAAACAUAUGAUACCGUAGUUAUUACAUGCAAAUAAUAAACCAUGGUUCCAAUUUUCAAAAGAAAAUCACAUUUUAAAGGUUCUAUAUAAAAAGCUAGUUUUUAUAUAAUUCGACGCGAUUCAAUUUUAAUAACCAAUAUUAAAUUUUGAGUGCAUUUGAACCUUUUAUAUCUUCAACAAAACUUCCUUCUAUUACUUAUAUAUUUGGAGUUUGUAUAGGUUAUAAAAAUCUCCAUUUCAAAACUUAUAUUUAAUUAUUUCAUAAUUUGAUGUUAUUAACGUUUUCAUUAAACCAAAUUUUAUUUUGAAAAAAUAACUUGUUACAUCUUAUGUCUAGAUUAUAAAUUUUGAAAACCAAACUCCAUGUGAUGUUUAUUUUGUCUAAAAUUAUUUUAACAUGUGAAAAACUAAUUUAUCAACUACACAUAAUAAUUGCAUAAAAUAAACAACACAAACAUGCAUAAAAUUAUAUGUGCAUAAACAUAACCAACUAAUGACAUUUUUUGUGAGCCAAUACAAAAAUGCCAAGUCCAUUCCUAAAGGAACUUUUUAAGGGGAGCAAAAAUUUUCUUGUAAUGUUGUUGUAGAAGCUCCAACUUAAAAAAAAACAUAUAUUGUUUGCAACAGAUUGGAAAAACUUCUUUAAAGCAAUAUAUCAACAAUAUGCAACACUUUUCAGAAAAGGGUGCAGAAAAGGUUGCAUUAGAUCCAAUAGCUCCAAGGAAAGCUGUCAACACCUUUUGCAACAGAUUGCAGAAAAGGUUGCCUUUGUCCCUGCACACCUCUAAACCUCGAAAAUUGUCUUAUUGUUUUCCAAAAAUGGCUCCAACUUCAUUUCUUGUUACAUUUUUGUACAAAUAAAUUAUUUCUAACAACAAAUCUAUUAUUUACAAAAAUUAACCAAGAAAACUAACGUAUUUAAUUUGUUACAUACCAUAUGAAUAAAUAAAUUAUUACAACUAUUUUAUAACAAAAACAACCAACUCAACAACACAACAAACACAAUGGUCCUUGGAUAGCUUAUGCACACCAUACGUAUCAACAUCCACAUAAAACAACCUUUGUUUUUCUAAGACAACCUUAAAUGACAAAAGAUGCACGAAAACUUUUGUCACAUAAAAUAUCAAGUAUAAAUAUGUCAUAGAAAAUAUGUAUGAACUUGUUUUUACACAAAACAAAUUUGUCCAUAUUCUCCAAAAACUAAGAUUUCCAAAAAUCAUAAAAUCUAACUAAACUUUCAAGGUGGCUUUUGAUACCAAUUUGUAACGCCUGUAGAUCUGGGCUAGUCAAUUUAAGGACAAUGAGCGUCACAAAUGACUUUUUGAGGAAAGAUUAUUUAGAAAGAUUAAUAUUAACUAAUUUGUAGUUUAUGUUACAAGGUUUCCGAAUAUAUAAAGAAUGCUGAAAUCGGAGUUAUAACGAAGAAGUUAUGACCUAUCGAAGUUUCACGACAGAACCGACACGACGCCGAAUGACGUAAAAAGUGAAUUUACGUUAGAAUGAUAAUUAGCCUUAUAGAUCUAAACAAAAGUCGUAGAAUACGUUAAACCGAGAGCGUGCAUAAAAAGAACGCCCAAAUCUGACUUCGUAUGAGGAAGUUAUGAUUUUCCGAAGUUUCGACUUAGCAGUGUGCAGCCUGAAUACUCGAAUAUGAGAUCGAGCAGUUUUUAGCCGAAACAAUCUAAACGAGAAUCAAAGAUCUCAUUAGUAGUAGCAUAACAAUAAAAAGACAGACGAAAACGGAGUUCAGAUGAAGGAGUUAUGAAUUUCAAACGGAGUUUUCCUGUCCCGGUCUACUAAAAAUAAUAUAUUAAAAAUAAAGUCAAAAUUAGCCAAUGGAGUCUAAGCUAGAGUUGUAGAGCAUAAUCUCAACUACGCGUGGAUAUAAAGAACGUCGAAAACGGAGCUUGUAUGCGAAAAUUAAGAAUUUCUGAAGCUCGGGGUGCGAAACCCAAGGUGGUGCCAGAGCUCACGAGGUGAUAAUUACAAAACUCACGAGGUGAGUAGAUGAUGGACGUCUUCCAGGGCAAGUGGCCAUGAAGAACGCAAUGACAUAUCGAGCUCACGAGGUGAGAAUUAAAAACUCACGAGGUGAGAAUUAAAAACUCACAAGGUGAGCCUGGAAUUUUUGCCCUAUAAAUAGAAUUCAAGGGGCAACCGAUUUUGGUUGCUCCAUCUCUUCUCUCCCACUCCUGAUAUACUCUCUAAGCCCUAUUUUAACCCUCCGAAGCCCCGAUAUCAUCCCGAGACCCGAAGCAAGUCCCGAAGCCCGAAGAUCCCGAGAAGAAAAGAGUUUCCGAGCCGAAGCUCUGUCCGCGAGAGACCCGGUGUGUGAAGAUAUCCCGGUUUCACCGAAGAGUUACUACUUGCAGAGCCGUAGUGUUGUCCGAGGAUCGUCUUAUCAAGUGAUUGUAUAGUCCCUUUCAUAAACACGAGUAUAAUACAAGUAUUGUGUGAAUGUAUUAAGUAUAUGUUUGGGUGAGUGUGUAGUUACUUUCUUUUAAUACCUAGAUAUGAAGUAAUUGCUAUGAAAUACGUGCUAUGUGUUUAUAUUUUGUUGUUUAUUUGAGAGGGUGUUGAAGGAAUGUUUUGUAUAGGUAUUAAAUGAUUUUAAACUGUAUACGUAUUUUAAUAUCUACAAAUAUGUUGGGGUAAAUCGUGGGUAGAUGAAGUAGUCGGUGUGUGAUGAAAUAAUGUGAUGAGAGAUAGGUGAUGAUAAAAUGGUGAUGAUAAUUAGGUGACGAGAGGAAGGUGAUUAUAGUAAUGUGAUAAUAAAUAGGUGAUGAUAGAAUGGUGAUGAUAAUUAGGUAAGAAUAGAUAGGCUAUGAUUUACCAGUCCAGGCGAUGUUGUGACUGCGUAUUCAUGCGAUGAUAGCCUAACCCUUACUAUGAAUUACCAGUCCAAGCGAUGUUGUGACUGUGUAUUCAUGCGAUGAUAGCCUAACCCUUACUACGAAUUACCAGUCCAGGCGAUGUUGUGACUGCGUAUUCAUGCAAUGAUAACCUAACCCUUACUAUGACUUACGAGUCCAGGCGACGUUGCGACUGCGUAUUCAUGCGAUGAUCCUUAGGAAAAGUCCUUAGGAACAAACAUAUAAAGAAAUGUGAUGUAAGGAGAUGAGAGGUAAAUAUGAUGUAGGAGACGACCCUUAGGAUAAUUCCUUAGGGAAGGUACUUAAGAGAUAAAUGGAGAUAAUAGGAAUGGGUAAUUGGAAUGAUUGUUUGAUGAUUGAAUAUAUAUUUAUAUGAUAUAACAUUGUGGGUUGAAAACCCUAUAUGCCCACCAGGCUCCCAAGCCUGACCCACUCAGUUUUCUUUGUAUCACAGGUAUCGAUACAAAGACGUGUUUCACUAAGAGAUUUAAGGAGAUAUAAAUCAUUAGUGUAAUUGAAUGUAAGUUCUGUUUAUGCUUAUGUGUCUGUAUCGGAAUAUGACAUCCCGAGGUUUUAUUAUUAAAUGAAAAUACAUUCUCAUUGAGAAAUGUUUUGAUAAGUUAUUAUCAUAUCUUGUUUUGGGAACAAAUUCCGCAACCAUUUUCUUUAAAUGAUUACGCUGAUUUUAAAACAAAGCAUAAAGAAGUUGGUCUUUUCUGGCCGUGAAAUUGGGGAUGUUACAGUUGGUAUCAGAGCAUUAGUAUAAGCGAACUAGGAAUUUGUAGGAAAUUUCUAGACUUAAUCUUAGAAUGCUAAGUAUUGAUCGCGAGGAGUGUGUUUAAAAUAUGUUAGGUAGUACACCUAUAUUGAGACAAGCACUAGUUUAUUUUAGGAAUGAUGCCUAAAAUGCUUUUAUGUGCUAAUUGUUUUGUGUGAUAGCUAAAUCGAUGCUAUUAUUUGUUCGGAUCUAUGGUCUGUUGCCGACCGGAUCUGGAAACCUUAUGUGUGUAGGAUUCUAAGUGUAUGACUAUGAUAUUAUAACUAGCAUGUAAACGUUUCGGAGUGAUAAAUAGAUUUAUAUGUUUAUCGUAAAUGAAGCUUUCCUAUCUUAAGUUCUCGCCUAGUACACUGAACAUCUGCUUGGGUGUACAAAAGGUCAUGGUGAAGACACGUAGAGAAUUGAGUAAAUGGAGGAAAUGAAAAGGCUUAUAAUAGUGAGUGACACCUAUCGGAAGAUAUCGUAAGAGUGGUAUCUUACCUUUAGAAUAUGUCUUAUAAACAGUACGUUUAGAGGAGUACGGUACGUCUGAAGUACACCUUCGAUUGGCAGGAUGAUGGUGUUGGAUUAGUGUCUAAGUCCAUAACUAUUUUGGUAUGUACUUGACCCGAUGGUGAAUGGUCCUUUUGGGUUGCCUUCACCAAAGCAACUUGAUAGGAUGAAUUAUGGAGAGAAAGGAUUAAAUAUGAUUUAUUAAUAUAUUAUGAGAAUAAUAUAUAUUAAAGGAGAAAUCAUA